AAUAUCUUCAUCCAUUUUAUGUUCAUAUUGCUUAAAGCUAUUUAGAAUGAAUUCAACUGAUGUAAUUGCUCCAUAAUAAGACAAUUAUUAGCCAUUUUGCAAUUAUUAAAACGAUUAACUAGAAAUUUCUCGUUACUUGCAUCUUCGGCCAUGUAUCUUCCUUCUAAUUUGUCAUAAAGUUGUUUUUCACUCGCUUCAUUCUGGUAUGCAUCAAACAAUGCAUCUGACAUUCCAUUAAGAAUGUGUCCCAUGCAUAUGUAGUCAUUAUUAUCCCAUUUUUGCCUCAAAUGAGUUUGCUUCGCAGAUUCUUCAUCAUCUUUUUCAUCCAGCCUUUGGUGUAUUUAAAACAUAAGCGACCUUGAGAGUUGUAAGGAGGAAACGUGUCAUGACCCGGAACUCCCCUCAAGCUCAUGACAACUGUCGCGGUGCCUUGAUGGGCACUCAUAUCCAGAAAUGCCAAC
RNAcentral lists this long non-coding RNA (461 nucleotides) under Theobroma cacao (cacao). Its description in RNAcentral is "long non-coding RNA (TCAC_LNC001453)". The record is from RNAcentral. Lineage: Eukaryota; Viridiplantae; Streptophyta; Magnoliopsida; Malvales; Malvaceae.